UGGGGAAUUUUGGACAAUGGGCGCAAGCCUGAUCCAGCCAUGCCGCGUGCAGGAUGAAGGCCUUCGGGUUGUAAACUGCUUUUGUACGGAACGAAAAGACUCUGGUUAAUACCUGGGGUCCAUGACGGUACCGUAAGAAUAAGCACCGGCUAACUACGUGCCAGCAGCCGCGGUAAUACGUAGGGUGCGAGCGUUAAUCGGAAUUACUGGGCGUAAAGCGUGCGCAGGCGGUUAUAUAAGACAGAUGUGAAAUCCCCGGGCUCAACCUGGGAACUGCAUUUGUGACUGUAUAGCUAGAGUACGGCAGAGGGGGAUGGAAUUCCGCGUGUAGCAGUGAAAUGCGUAGAUAUGCGGAGGAACACCGAUGGCGAAGGCAAUCCCCUGGGCCUGUACUGACGCUCAUGCACGAAAGCGUGGGGAGCAAACA
RNAcentral lists this ribosomal RNA (427 nucleotides) under Pseudomonas sp. Its description in RNAcentral is "partial 16S ribosomal RNA". It matches the Rfam family "Bacterial small subunit ribosomal RNA", at positions 355 to 774 of the family's 1533-position model. Lineage: Bacteria; Pseudomonadati; Pseudomonadota; Gammaproteobacteria; Pseudomonadales; Pseudomonadaceae. The record is from RNAcentral. RNAcentral also lists the same sequence under 6 other names.